RNAcentral lists this small RNA (59 nucleotides) under Filamoeba nolandi. Its description in RNAcentral is "partial Mitochondrion-encoded tmRNA". Lineage: Eukaryota; Evosea; Variosea. The record is from RNAcentral.
UCCAUAAAUCAGACCCAAAUGUGGUCGAAUUUUUCAAAGCGCUAGCUCUUUGUCACACA